UGUCCAGUAGCACCUUAGAGACCAACUAAGUUUGUUCUGGAUAUAAGCUUUCAUGUGCAUGCAGACCCAGAACAACUUAGUUGGUUUCUAAGGUGCUACUGGACA
Non-coding RNA from Podarcis lilfordi (Lilford's wall lizard), 105 nucleotides. The record is from the annotation of a GenBank genome assembly. Lineage: Eukaryota; Metazoa; Chordata; Lepidosauria; Squamata; Lacertidae.